AAUGGAGGCAACUCUGACGCAGCCAUGCCGCGUGCAGGAAGAAGGCGCUACGCGUUGUAAACUGCUUUUAACCGGGAAGAAACCCCAGGACGUGUCCUGGGUUGACGGUACCGGAGGAAUAAGCACCGGCUAACUUCGUGCCAGCAGCCGCGGUAAUACGAAGGGUGCAAGCGUUAUCCGGAUUCAUUGGGUUUAAAGGGUGCGUAGGCGGGGUGGUAAGUCAGUGGUGAAAUCCUGCGGCUCAACCGUAGAAUUGCCAUUGAUACUGCCAUUCUUGAGUAGGCUCGACGUGGGCGGAAUGUGCCGUGUAGCGGUGAAAUGCUUAGAUAUGGCACAGAACACCGAUAGUGAAGACAGCUCACGAGGGCCAAACUGACGCUGAGGCACGAAAGCGUGGGGAUCGAA
This 405-nucleotide ribosomal RNA is filed under the name uncultured bacterium. RNAcentral's name for it is "bacterial SSU rRNA". It matches the Rfam family "Bacterial small subunit ribosomal RNA", at positions 370 to 772 of the family's 1533-position model. The record is from RNAcentral.